UACGGAGGGUGCAAGCAUUAAUCGGAUUUACUGGGCGUAAAGGGUGCGUAGGCGGAUUAUUAAGUCAAAUGUGAAAUUCUGACCCUCAAUGUCAGAACUGCAUUUGAAACUGGUUUUCUAGAGGGUGGGCGGAGAGAAUGGAAUUCCGUGUGUAGCGGUGAAAUGCGUAGAUAUACGGAAGAACACCUGUGGCGAAAGCGAUUCUCUAGCUUACUACUGACGCUGAGGCACGAGAGCGUGGGGAGCAAACAGG
RNAcentral lists this ribosomal RNA (253 nucleotides) under uncultured bacterium. RNAcentral describes it as "partial 16S ribosomal RNA". It matches the Rfam family "Bacterial small subunit ribosomal RNA", at positions 524 to 776 of the family's 1533-position model. The record is from RNAcentral.